Molecule: long non-coding RNA, 300 nt
Organism: Girardinichthys multiradiatus
Lineage: Eukaryota; Metazoa; Chordata; Actinopteri; Cyprinodontiformes; Goodeidae
Exons: 3
Source: RefSeq, a predicted model, not a curated record
CGUUUUCAUGACAACGCCGACUGUUGGGAUGAAGAUAUGACUGGUUCACUACAUCACUGUGGAGUCCGUCCUCAUGGUACUAAACACAGCAGAAACAUGAACGGUCAGAUGGAGGUUCCUGAUUGGACAGAGUCUAACAGUCAGAUGGAGGUUCCUGAUUGGUCAGAUUGUAAUGGUCAGAUGGAGGUUCUUGAUUGGACAGAUUCUAACAGACUGAGGUUCCUGAUUGGACAGAGUCUAACAGUCAGAUGGAGGUUCCUGAUUGGUCAGAUUCCAACAGGCUGAGGUUCCUGAUUGGAC